Molecule: transfer RNA, 85 nt
Filed under: Felis catus (domestic cat)
Lineage: Eukaryota; Metazoa; Chordata; Mammalia; Carnivora; Felidae
Rfam family: tRNA
About the family: Transfer RNA (tRNA) molecules are approximately 80 nucleotides in length. Their secondary structure includes four short double-helical elements and three loops (D, anti-codon, and T loops).
Source: Rfam by way of RNAcentral
GCCUGGGUGGCUCAGUUGGUUAAGUGUCUGACUUCGACUCAGGUCACUAUCUCGCAGUUUGUGAGUUCGAGCCCCGCAUUAGGCU